This 2934-nucleotide ribosomal RNA is filed under the name Bacillus velezensis. RNAcentral's name for it is "bacterial LSU rRNA". It matches the Rfam family "Bacterial large subunit ribosomal RNA". Lineage: Bacteria; Bacillati; Bacillota; Bacilli; Caryophanales; Bacillaceae. The record is from RNAcentral.
CGGUUAAGUUAGAAAGGGCGCACGGUGGAUGCCUUGGCACUAGGAGCCGAUGAAGGACGGGACGAACACCGAUAUGCUUCGGGGAGCUGUAAGCAAGCUUUGAUCCGGAGAUUUCCGAAUGGGGAAACCCACCACUCGUAAUGGAGUGGUAUCCAUAUCUGAAUACAUAGGAUAUGAGAAGGCAGACCCGGGGAACUGAAACAUCUAAGUACCCGGAGGAAGAGAAAGCAAAUGCGAUUCCCUGAGUAGCGGCGAGCGAAACGGGACCAGCCCAAACCAAGAGGCUUGCCUCUUGGGGUUGUAGGACACUCUGUACGGAGUUACAAAGGAACGAGGUAGAUGAAGAGGUCUGGAAAGGCCCGCCAUAGGAGGUAACAGCCCUGUAGUCAAAACUUCGUUCUCUCCUGAGUGGAUCCUGAGUACGGCGGAACACGUGAAAUUCCGUCGGAAUCCGGGAGGACCAUCUCCCAAGGCUAAAUACUCCCUAGUGACCGAUAGUGAACCAGUACCGUGAGGGAAAGGUGAAAAGCACCCCGGAAGGGGAGUGAAAGAGAUCCUGAAACCGUGUGCCUACAAGUAGUCAGAGCCCGUUAACGGGUGAUGGCGUGCCUUUUGUAGAAUGAACCGGCGAGUUACGAUCCCGUGCAAGGUUAAGCAGAAGAUGCGGAGCCGCAGCGAAAGCGAGUCUGAAUAGGGCGAAUUGAGUACGUGGUCGUAGACCCGAAACCAGGUGAUCUACCCAUGUCCAGGGUGAAGUUCAGGUAACACUGAAUGGAGGCCCGAACCCACGCACGUUGAAAAGUGCGGGGAUGAGGUGUGGGUAGGGGUGAAAUGCCAAUCGAACCUGGAGAUAGCUGGUUCUCUCCGAAAUAGCUUUAGGGCUAGCCUCAAGGUAAGAGUCUCGGAGGUAGAGCACUGAUUGGACUAGGGGCCCCUACCGGGUUACCGAAUUCAGUCAAACUCCGAAUGCCGAUGACUUAUCCUUGGGAGUCAGACUGCGAGUGAUAAGAUCCGUAGUCGAAAGGGAAACAGCCCAGACCGCCAGCUAAGGUCCCAAAGUAUACGUUAAGUGGAAAAGGAUGUGGAGUUGCUUAGACAACCAGGAUGUUGGCUUAGAAGCAGCCACCAUUUAAAGAGUGCGUAAUAGCUCACUGGUCGAGUGACUCUGCGCCGAAAAUGUACCGGGGCUAAACGUAUCACCGAAGCUGCGGACUGUUCUUCGAACAGUGGUAGGAGAGCGUUCUAAGGGCUGUGAAGCAAGACCGGAAGGACUUGUGGAGCGCUUAGAAGUGAGAAUGCCGGUAUGAGUAGCGAAAGAGGGGUGAGAAUCCCCUCCACCGAAUGCCUAAGGUUUCCUGAGGAAGGCUCGUCCGCUCAGGGUUAGUCGGGACCUAAGCCGAGGCCGAAAGGCGUAGGCGAUGGAUAACAGGUUGAUAUUCCUGUACCACCUCCUCACCAUUUGAGCAAUGGGGGGACGCAGGAGGAUAGGGUAAGCGCGGUAUUGGAUAUCCGCGUCCAAGCAGUUAGGCUGGGAAAUAGGCAAAUCCGUUUCCCGUGAAGGCUGAGCUGUGAUGGCGAGCGAAUUAUAGUAGCGAAGUUCCUGAUUCCACACUGCCAAGAAAAGCUUCUAGCGAGGUGAGAGGUGCCCGUACCGCAAACCGACACAGGUAGGCGAGGAGAGAAUCCUAAGGUGAUCGAGAGAACUCUCGUUAAGGAACUCGGCAAAAUGACCCCGUAACUUCGGGAGAAGGGGUGCUCUGUUAGGGUGCAAGCCCGAGAGAGCCGCAGUGAAUAGGCCCAGGCGACUGUUUAGCAAAAACACAGGUCUCUGCGAAGCCGUAAGGCGAAGUAUAGGGGCUGACGCCUGCCCGGUGCUGGAAGGUUAAGAGGAGCGCUUAGCGUAAGCGAAGGUGCGAAUUGAAGCCCCAGUAAACGGCGGCCGUAACUAUAACGGUCCUAAGGUAGCGAAAUUCCUUGUCGGGUAAGUUCCGACCCGCACGAAAGGCGCAACGAUCUGGGCACUGUCUCAACGAGAGACUCGGUGAAAUUAUAGUACCUGUGAAGAUGCAGGUUACCCGCGACAGGACGGAAAGACCCCGUGGAGCUUUACUGCAGCCUGAUAUUGAAUGUUGGUACAGCUUGUACAGGAUAGGUAGGAGCCUUGGAAACCGGAGCGCCAGCUUCGGUGGAGGCAUCGGUGGGAUACUACCCUGGCUGUAUUGACCUUCUAACCCGCCGCCCUUAUCGGGCGGGGAGACAGUGUCAGGUGGGCAGUUUGACUGGGGCGGUCGCCUCCUAAAAGGUAACGGAGGCGCCCAAAGGUUCCCUCAGAAUGGUUGGAAAUCAUUCGCAGAGUGUAAAGGCACAAGGGAGCUUGACUGCGAGACCUACAAGUCGAGCAGGGACGAAAGUCGGGCUUAGUGAUCCGGUGGUUCCGCAUGGAAGGGCCAUCGCUCAACGGAUAAAAGCUACCCCGGGGAUAACAGGCUUAUCUCCCCCAAGAGUCCACAUCGACGGGGAGGUUUGGCACCUCGAUGUCGGCUCAUCGCAUCCUGGGGCUGUAGUCGGUCCCAAGGGUUGGGCUGUUCGCCCAUUAAAGCGGUACGCGAGCUGGGUUCAGAACGUCGUGAGACAGUUCGGUCCCUAUCCGUCGCGGGCGCAGGAAAUUUGAGAGGAGCUGUCCUUAGUACGAGAGGACCGGGAUGGACGCACCGCUGGUGUACCAGUUGUUCUGCCAAGGGCAUCGCUGGGUAGCUAUGUGCGGACGGGAUAAGUGCUGAAAGCAUCUAAGCAUGAAGCCCCCCUCAAGAUGAGAUUUCCCAUUCCGCAAGGAAGUAAGAUCCCUGAAAGAUGAUCAGGUUGAUAGGUCUGAAGUGGAAGUGUGGCGACACAUGGAGCUGACAGAUACUAAUCGAUCGAGGACUUAACCAAUUU